Long non-coding RNA from Phascolarctos cinereus (koala), 428 nucleotides. RefSeq lists it as uncharacterized. NCBI's taxonomy places the organism in Eukaryota, Metazoa, Chordata, Mammalia, Diprotodontia, Phascolarctidae. The record is from RefSeq and is a predicted model, not a curated record.
AAGUCCUCUUUUAGGAUUGGCUACCCUUUCAUAUCCAUAAGAUAAUUAAAACGAAGGAGGAUUUUUUUAAACUUUUUUUUUUAAUCAGCCAAUGGUUAAUGCAAGAGUUUAGCAGAUGCUUUACUAUUUUAAAAAAACACAAAACCAAAACAAAACUUAAAAAUCUUCUUCAAUAACCGGAUCUUCUCAAGCCAGGGGACACCAAGACCCCCAAAUAGGUUUCCUCCAGCUUGCGGAAUGUUAAAAACCCGGCGUCUCGUUCUCCCGGAAUCAGUGGUGUGGACGAUAUCGGUUUUCUGCCAGUUUAACUAGCCUGUUUGUGAAGCAUUACUUCAUAGCAGUUAUUGUCCCAGUAUCCACCUUCUCCCACCAAACCACAGUCACCAGAAAUAUGGAGGAAGACUGCCAUCUUUGAUGCAUCUGAAUCA